AACCAAUAACACAGCCACUAUGAACGCACCUGAUCCGUCUGAUCUCGGAAGCUAAGCAGGGUCAGGCCUGGUUAGUACUUGGGUGGGAAACCAAUAAAAAGUUGAGUGUAGUGGUUC
RNAcentral lists this ribosomal RNA (117 nucleotides) under Castor canadensis (American beaver). The record is from RNAcentral. Lineage: Eukaryota; Metazoa; Chordata; Mammalia; Rodentia; Castoridae.